Molecule: microRNA precursor, 59 nt
Organism: Gadus morhua (Atlantic cod)
Lineage: Eukaryota; Metazoa; Chordata; Actinopteri; Gadiformes; Gadidae
Source: Ensembl
CCAUGAUGACGUUGCACUACUGUUCCAAACGCCCAAGCAGUGCAACAGUAUUGUCAUAG